This is a non-coding RNA of Schizosaccharomyces pombe (fission yeast), 664 nucleotides long. Lineage: Eukaryota; Fungi; Ascomycota; Schizosaccharomycetes; Schizosaccharomycetales; Schizosaccharomycetaceae. The record is from the annotation of a GenBank genome assembly.
UAUUCUAUCUUUCUUUUCUCUUAGAGUCGUAUCAAAAUUGAAACCAUCCGAAUAAGUAGGUCUGUAACCAUGAUUCUCCACUUCAUUUCCAGGCCACAUAUGUACCGCUGAUCGAACGUUAUUUCGCUCAGCGUUGACCCAUAUAGGCUCCCCUUUAUCCCACCAAGUUGGGUCUUUGUUACAUUCAGGCAUACUGUUGACAAAUUGCUUCCCAGUUACAGGAUCAAAAAAGUUGUUACUAACGAUUCCAUGGCUCUCGGGAUAUAAACCGGUAACAAUAGUAUAGUGAUUAGGGAAAGUUAUACUAGGAAAAGAAGGAAUCAAAAAGGGAACAUGGACAUUACGUUCAGCCAGGCUCAGAAGAUUAGGUGUGAACCCACGAUAUAAGUAAUCAGCACGGAAUCCAUCCAAGGAGAUUACGAUGACAGUGGACUGAAAAACAUUGGUCCCAUUGUUGAAGGAACCUCCAACGAUAGGAAAAAUAAUUGCUUUGAAGCAAAAUAAUUUCACAAUUGCCAAUAUCAGAAUUCCUAAAAUGCAAAUAGCGGCAAUUGCUAGUCCCGAUCGUUUUGCCCAUUGAUUCAAAUAAGCCUUUCGAUCAUUUUUCAAAGGCAAAUACUCGUUGGACCCAAUAUUAGCCCAACUAAACAUUUCGGCGAAUGUU